Molecule: transfer RNA, 76 nt
Filed under: Burkholderiales bacterium
Lineage: Bacteria; Pseudomonadati; Pseudomonadota; Betaproteobacteria; Burkholderiales
Also listed under: 1 other name
Description: tRNA-Thr
Rfam family: tRNA
About the family: Transfer RNA (tRNA) molecules are approximately 80 nucleotides in length. Their secondary structure includes four short double-helical elements and three loops (D, anti-codon, and T loops).
Source: RNAcentral
GCCGGUGUAGCUCAGUUGGUAGAGCAGCGCAUUCGUAAUGCGAAGGUCGGAGGUUCAAGUCCCCUCUCCGGCACCA